Long non-coding RNA from Centropristis striata (black sea bass), 1271 nucleotides. RefSeq lists it as uncharacterized. Lineage: Eukaryota; Metazoa; Chordata; Actinopteri; Perciformes; Serranidae. The record is from RefSeq and is a predicted model, not a curated record. The transcript is spliced from 2 exons.
CAGUGGUGGAAGAAGUAUUCAGAUCAUUUACUUCAGUAAAAAGUACUAAUACCACACUGUGAAAUGACUCCACUCUGCUCAUUUUAACUACCUAAUAAACUUUUAAGUGGUUUAAUUUAUGAAAAUGGGUAAUAAUUUUAAAUGUAUCAUGUUUUUCAUUUUAAAUCUUGACCCGAAAAGUAAUUAAAGCUGUCAGCUAAAUUUAGGAGUAAAAAGUACAAUAUUUGCCUCAAAAUGUAGUGGAGUAGAAGUAUAAUGUAACCCAGGUUACUAGGCAUUAAACCAGUUCAUCAGUCUAUUGGUAAAAUAAAUAAAUUCAUAUGUUUAUGUGGCAGAAGGAAUAAAUAGGAUUUAGGAUUAAAAUCUUAAAUAUGUCAAUAAAUAAAUAAAUAAUAUUAUUUAUAUAUAAUAUAAUGUUUAUUUCAAUCUGUUUGAAAGAGUAUUUCUAUUUCAUUUCAAGUGUGGUGAAUAUGCCUUUCUGAACGUGUACAAGAUCCAGUGACAUGAGGAGUUCACGUGAUGUAGUGUAACCAAUCAGGCGCUGUCAGGGCCUACGUGCUGCGGUGUUUUGGUUUUUCCUUUUUCUCUCUGCCGGACCGACGUGAAGGCGGCUGCAUGCUACCUUUUUCCUGCACAUGUUAACGUUUUUGACCAAGAGAGCAAGAUAUUCAGACUUCUUCAUUAAUACUUUUCGUUGCCGUGGAGAGCGAGAUUCCCUCUUUUUAUCAAGAAGACGAGAGAGCGUGAGUAAUGUUAAUUAGCAGCCCUGGCGCUAGUUUAGCGGCGCUAGCCACAUUAGCUUCGCUAAAUUCAUUUUGUAAAAAUAUACAGUGCUGAACUCCUGUGUCCCUGUUUCUUAUCAAGUGUAGCCUGGAUUGAUGAGAGUCCUGUGAAGCUGUAUUGCCCUGUGAACCUGUGUUUUGCUGGAGAUUGUGUGUGUGUCAUAAUUGAACCUCCGGCCGGGUCUUUUUCUUUUCAUGGCAUGAUUCCUGGUUCCAAGACCUGUGUGGAAAUUUCCUCUACUGAGAUUCUUCUUAUACUGUAAGGUGGAAGGAGACUCAGUUGAGGUGGCGAGCCAAACAAAACAAAAACAGAACUGUAACUUUGUCAUUAACUUUGUGAUUUUGGGGAUUCAAUUUUUGUGAACUGUUGUUGACACCUGAAGUGUUUAUUGAUACUCAUCCAUUUUUAUUUCAUUUAAUAUUUUUCUACCUUUUAAAAAGAGUUUCUUAUUCAAUACAAAAGAAUACUACAUAAAAACCUUAGCUGGU